Long non-coding RNA from Rhinichthys klamathensis goyatoka, 574 nucleotides. RefSeq lists it as uncharacterized. Lineage: Eukaryota; Metazoa; Chordata; Actinopteri; Cypriniformes; Leuciscidae. The record is from RefSeq and is a predicted model, not a curated record. The transcript is spliced from 3 exons.
AAUAUACCUUCUAAAGCUAAGUGUUAAAAGAUUUUGCUUCAGUCUGUGUACUACUGCUUUUCAUAACUGCGUUUGAAUGGAAAUGUUAUAUUUGAAUCUCUAAUUUUGAUUUUUAUGUUUUUUAGGAACCAGCCAAAUGAAGUGAGAUUGCCUGAGAAGAUCACGUGUGCUACAUCAAUGACGAUGACGAGCUGGAUACCAGAUUAUGUGCCAAUUUCUUUCCAGAACAGGUCCAAAUAUCUAUGGCAUUGAAGACAACUCUGAAGAAUGAAGAAGCAGAGGAAGAAGCACACUGAGGUCAAUACUACUGAUAAGGAUAUCCAGGGAGACAGAUGCGUGCCAUUCAGCAUAGAAACAUCAGAGACAGAGAUCACCUGAGCGCAGAGGGAAACCAGCUUCUCCUGAGCAAGCCUGAGAGACGUUCUGCGGGUGGAACUCCAAAGUUGAAACCAAAUGUCUUUUUAAAGGCAACAACGGCUCUUUUCAGAGCUACCCACUCAUUCAAAUAAAGAGCAUUUUUACAAAUGUAUUCACAACAAAAUUCUCAGCACUAUAGGCUAAACUAGUACAUAAU